AUCAUUCUCAAGCUCCCAUCUCUCCAUCUGACCUCCCUCAAACUAUCCGAUUCACUCUCACCAUCUCUCAAGCUGACCGACGCCGUCCCAGCCGAAGCUCGACCCACUCCCGCCUCAUCCCUCAGCUCGCCGACCAGCCAGAAAAACAGUAGUAGAGGAGCAAUAAGAGCUGAAGUUCUGCUACUCAUAUUUGUAUUUAUCGAGAUCGAGGGGAGGUUGUUUUUGGAAGAUUUUGAUGUCUCUGACUAAGGGACCAAAAAUUUCAUUGGAGGAUGAAAUUUGUGACAUAUGUGGUGAUGCUGGUUUUGACAAUGCAUUAGCUACUUGCUCCAGUUGCUGUAGUCAUGAACCUGGUUAUUGCAUGCUGGUUGUUCUCCAUGAUAUUCCAGAAGAUUGGAUUUGUAAAUCAUGUCUGUCAAGUGGGAUGGUAUUGCCAGAAGCUGGUGGGAAGGACAUCACCAUGAGAACCGUGACAAUAUAUUGCUCUGAAAUGACUAAAGCAAGUCUCAGUAUUUUUUUUUUCUUUUUUUGAAUGAGAUACUUUCAUUAAACAAUCAAGAAAGAUUUUUAAAUUGAUCAGAAACAAAAGAAAGAUACUUACAUGAAAAAUUAGAAACAAUCAAAUGACAAGCAGCAACAACAGCAGAACACAAUACCAAACUGCUAGAUAGUGAUUCUAUAAUUAAGACACAUGUAUCCAAAUAACUAGACAGUACCCUAUUGUUCAAUUUUUUUGAACCCAUUGCAUACUCCCAUUCUAGCUCUAACAUCAUUCUUGAUCAACCCAUAAUCUUCUCCUCUUUGUGAAUCAGACCAUUGUGAACUCUUGCAGUUCUUUAAAGCCAGACAUGAUAAAUGAAAGAAGCCGAAGCAAGCUUGUAUAAGCUUGUAUAA
Quercus lobata is the source of this 894-nucleotide long non-coding RNA. RefSeq lists it as uncharacterized. The transcript has 3 exons. The record is from RefSeq and is a predicted model, not a curated record. Lineage: Eukaryota; Viridiplantae; Streptophyta; Magnoliopsida; Fagales; Fagaceae.